Molecule: ribosomal RNA, 253 nt
Filed under: uncultured bacterium
Lineage: Bacteria
Description: partial 16S ribosomal RNA
Rfam family: Bacterial small subunit ribosomal RNA
Source: RNAcentral
UACGAAGGGGGCUAGCGUUGCUCGGAAUCAUUGGGCGUAAAGGGCGUGUAGGCGGCCAGAUAAGUCCGCUGUGAAAUCUCGAGGCUCAACUUCGAGCUGUCGGUGGAAACUGUCUGGCUAGAGUCCGGAAGAGGAGAAUGGAAUUCCUGGUGUAGCGGUGAAAUGCGCAGAUAUCAGGAAGAACACCCGUGGCGAAGGCGAUUCUCUGGGACGGUACUGACGCUGAGACGCGAAAGCGUGGGGAGCGAACAGG